GAUAAUUAUUACACAAUAUUUAUUUUCAUAUUUUCCAUUUAUAGUCAUCUAUAGUCAUUUGUCAAAAUUGUUUUCUGAUUCUGCUUGCUUUUUUAUGAAUCAGUUAAUAUAUUUUCCUAUACUGUUCUGAGUUCUUCAUAUUAAUUGUUUCUUACAGCAGAAGGCUGCAAAAUUCACAACUAUUCCCUUAAAAUACUUGAUCCCAGGUCCUCUGAAUCUCUGAUUCUAUGCUAACCCCACAAAAUGCUAAUGCUAUUUUCUAAUGUAAAUAUGCCCUUCCUUUGUCCUCCUUGGGGUUUAGGUAUGUCUAGGUCAAAGGUGAUGAACAUUUUUGUCACUUUUUUAGAAUAAUGACAAACUGUUUUGCAGAGUGUUUGUACCAACUCACAGCCCCUUGAUGUUUCUAAUCUUUCCUCACUUCAGUCUAUCUUUCAUACUGAAUGACUCUAAUCACAUGCCUUCCCAAAUCAAAACCCCUGGGCCUCUAUAUUGCUUGCCAAAAUAAAGUUCAAAUUCUUCAUUCUGACAUCCAAGACCCCCCAUAACCUAGCUCUAACCUACUUUCUGACUCUUACUUUACUCUUUAUUCCAUGCCAACUUUCCUAUUUUCUAUUCUUUGAAUAUCUUUGAGGAGAGGGAAGCAGAGCUGUGAGUUCAUUGAUUUGGGUUUCAAAUCUCACCACUCUUCGUGAGAAAUCUCCCUCUCCAGUUCUUGCAGUUAAUACUUGGGAAGUUGUCUUGGAUGCAUCAAUUCAAUUCAACAAGUAUUCACCAAUUUGCUGAUAGGUGAGAGACAUCAUGCUAGGAUUUAGGCAUUAACUCUCAAAGAACUUGGGUACUAAUGGGGCAAAUGUCACAUACAUAAAAAAGUAUGAUGAUAAGGCAAAAGAAAAAUAUAUGGAGACAGAGAAAGUCAGAGAGACAAGGAAAGAGAGUUAGUGAGGAAGAGAGUGCAUUAGGCAGAGUUGCCAGGAGUAACAGCAGUGUUUGGCACACAGUAAGCAUAGGAAGGAAGGAAGGAAGGAAGGAAGGAAGGAAGGAAGGAAGGAAGGAAGGAAGGAAGGAAGGAAGGAAGGAAGGAAGGAAGGAAGGAAGGAAGGAAGGAAGGAAGGAAGGAAGGAAGGAAGGAAGGAAGGAAGGAAGGAAGGAAGGAAGGAAGGAAGGAAGGAAGGAAGGAAGGAAGGAAGGGAGGAAGGAAGGAAGGAAGGAAGGAAGGAAGGAAGGAAAGGAAGAAGAGAGAGGAGAAUGGAAAGGAAGAAAAGAGAAAGGGAAGGAAGAAAGAGGGAGGGAUGGAGGUGAGAGAAAGAAAAAAGGAGGAAGAAAAACACAUCAUUGA
Molecule: long non-coding RNA, 1336 nt
Filed under: Monodelphis domestica (gray short-tailed opossum)
Lineage: Eukaryota; Metazoa; Chordata; Mammalia; Didelphimorphia; Didelphidae
Description: lncRNA (ENSMODG00000047485.1)
Source: RNAcentral